GAUGAACGCUGGCGGCGUGCCUAAUACAUGCAAGUCGAGCGAACAGAUGAGGAGCUUGCUCCUCUGACGUUAGCGGCGGACGGGUGAGUAACACGUGGAUAACCUACCUAUAAGACUGGGAUAACUUCGGGAAACCGGAGCUAAUACCGGAUAAUAUAUUGAACCGCAUGGUUCAAUAGUGAAAGACGGUUUUGCUGUCACUUAUAGAUGGAUCCGCGCCGCAUUAGCUAGUUGGUAAGGUAACGGCUUACCAAGGCAACGAUGCGUAGCCGACCUGAGAGGGUGAUCGGCCACACUGGAACUGAGACACGGUCCAGACUCCUACGGGAGGCAGCAGUAGGGAAUCUUCCGCAAAGGGCGAAAGCCUGACGGAGCAACGCCGCGUGAGUGAUGAAGGUCUUCGGAUCGUAAAACUCUGUUAUUAGGGAAGAACAAAUGUGUAACUAACUAUGCACGUCUUGACGGUACCUAAUCAGAAAGCCACGGCUAACUACGUG
This 497-nucleotide ribosomal RNA is filed under the name uncultured bacterium. Its description in RNAcentral is "partial 16S ribosomal RNA". It matches the Rfam family "Bacterial small subunit ribosomal RNA", at positions 28 to 507 of the family's 1533-position model. The record is from RNAcentral.